This 1941-nucleotide long non-coding RNA is filed under the name Mytilus galloprovincialis (Mediterranean mussel). The record is from RNAcentral. Lineage: Eukaryota; Metazoa; Mollusca; Bivalvia; Mytilida; Mytilidae.
GUAAUUAAAGUGAUAACAUGUUUAUUUUCUGUUGUUGAUUUUUAUGUUCGCGAUUUCGUAAAACUGAUGUAGAUUCAAAAAUGAACAAGAAUAUGGUUGAUGUGUACAUGUUUUGUUAAAAGAUGCAACUACAGAGAUGUGGACAUCUUCAUGAUUUUGGACUGCUGACAACUUGAUCAUUUCAUGAGUAUAGCUCUAUAUUGUUUUAAAUACCAUACAGAGGAUUUUUUUUGUAUGAAAAUCAAUAAUGGAAAAACACAAAAAUAACAAGGAAAAGCAAAGUAUGCAGUCAAAAUAUUUUGAUGCUUAAUACAUGUAACAAUUUGGCACAAAUUUGCUAAAUUUUUAUCUCAAGCAACACUUAGUUUUCAUAUUUAUGUUGCUCAAGACCUGUCUUUUUGUUUCCCUCCUCUGUGGUAUUUAAAAUUUUACUGAGAGUUGUGAAACUUAUUUUUAUGCAAUUUUUUUUAUUAAUUUUCAAAAUUUAAUGAACAGUUAGGCAGCAACCAUUUGAUUUUCUGGGGGGGCUAUGGAUUUUUUUUCUGGACAAACUUUGUUUUUCAUUUUUUUGGCGACAAGUCGACAACAAUUUUUUUCUUUCAAUUAUAGCAUUACAUAUAGUGGCAGCUAAGGGCGAAACAAACAAUUUUUUUUUCUCGGGUCAACAACAAAUUAUUUUUUUCUCCAAAACUGGAAACAAACUUUUUUUUCCAAAAAAAUCCAUAGCCCCCCCCCAGAAAAUCAAAUGGUUGCUGCCUUAGUUUACUUUUAAUUUGUUUUGUGCAAUUAAAGAUUGAAAAAUGCAAUUUGGAGAUAAAUAUUUUUCUAUAAUUUCUGGCUUCACAACCCUCAGCAAUGAUUAAAAUAUAUUAUUUGAUAAGUUUUUCUUUAGGACUGAUCAAAUAUUGAGCAUAUUCAGAUUUUGUACAAAGAAUUCCUUAAAAAAAAAUGAAAUAUACACCUAUAUAAAAUUGUUGAGAGAUAUAUAUGAGAUAACUGUCAUGAUCGUAAAACAAAUUAGGUUGAAGAUAAAGGGAGAAUUAAAACUCAAUAAGUCGAAGAGGGACGGACAAAAUAAUGUCAAAAUCACCAACCACUAGCCGAAGAGAGACUUGACAAAUUAUAUGCAAAGUCACUGACCACUAGCCAAAGAGAGACUUGACAAAUUAUAUGCAAAAUCACUGACCACAAGUCGAAGAUGAUCAGACAAAAUAAUGGCAAAUUCACAGAAAUAUUAAAUCAAUACAUAACAAACUUAAAUCUAUGCAAAACAAACCUCUUUAAAACACAGUUAAAUGUAAUAUACAUGUACAUACAAGCAAAACACUUCUGUUUUACAGUGUUAAAUGCAUCUAAUUUUUGCUGUGUUUAUAAUCGUUUGUAGUAAUUAUAUAUAUAUAUAUAAUGAAUAUUUAUUUCAAAAUGCAAAUACUACUGGCUGGAGAUGUUUCAAGCUGUUGUAGAAAGUUUGGAGAUUACUGACAAACUACAAUAUUUAAGAAUUGAAGGCUUCUUUUUGUAACUUCAUUGGGGUGUUAAAGCUUUGACCGAAGUACAUUCUGUUUCCGCGCUAAUCAUAAAAAUUCUAAAAAUGUGCGCAUGUUCAACGCUUUUACAACCCUAUGAAGUUACAAAAAGAAGCAUUCAAUACUUAUAAUUACAUUUUUUAGCUAUGAUCAUGAAAACACAAAUUUUAUAAUUGUUUUACUUAAUUCACCUAUGCACUUUAUUGUGGGACCACGUGUUAUCAUGAAUGAAAAGUUUUAUUGAGUAAUGCAAUUGCUAAAGGAAUAACACGUGAUGUGCAGUUAGCCAAUCAUAACAAAGUAUUAUAAUGAAACAUACAUCUAAUGUAAUUAUAUAUGUACAUUUUUACCCAUAUAUAAAUCAACAUAAUAAUUUUACAAUACAUCAUACAGAAAAAAACCAUUAUAUACAUAU